This 1336-nucleotide long non-coding RNA is filed under the name Monodelphis domestica (gray short-tailed opossum). Its description in RNAcentral is "lncRNA (ENSMODG00000038119.1)". The record is from RNAcentral. Lineage: Eukaryota; Metazoa; Chordata; Mammalia; Didelphimorphia; Didelphidae.
CCUUUGUAGAAUGAAGAAUUAGAUUAACUGAUCUCUAAAAUUCUCUCUUGUUCUAAAUCCAAAGAUUCCCCAAGUACUAAGUGCUCAGUUUCAAAUACUCUUAAUGUUUCAUGAAUCAGGGGUUUGGGGUUUCACUCCCAAAUCUGACACUUAUUCCAUGUGACUAGAGACAAAUCCUAUCCUCUCUCUGGCCCUCAGUUUCCACACCUGUAAAAUCAAAGAAUUGGAUCCAAUUGUUGCUUAGGUGCCUUUGAAUUCAGUGUCCCAAAACAAGCCACAAUUCCAUGUAAAUGGUUCACAAAGAUUUGAUACUGUCACUCAUCUCGUGCCCCAUCCCCAUAUGGGAAUGUGGACACACAGUCAUACCCCUCUGAGAUCCCUAGGGACUGAUGUAAAACAAAGAACUUUAUAAAUGGGAUCAUUGUCACCUCUGUGCCAUUUAUCCUACUUUUACAAUUUAAAAGCAAAUAAGCAUGAUGAGACUAGAGAAAAUUUCCACUUUUUCCAACCACCAUAAAAACAUCCAUCUGGCUUUUAUCACAGAAAGCUCAAGCUUCACAUAUACAGCUGCCCCAUCAGCCCCAAAUGAUGUUCAGUAUCCCCAGUCUUUCUGCUGAGGCAGAUGUUCCCGGGACCGUCACACUGGUGGCCCCAAACCCUUUCAUAGUCACAUAGUUGGCUGCUGAUGCCACAGAAUGCUCCAGGGACCUGGGGCAAGGGGCAUGCUUUGAAUCUUCACGUGCCAAGAUGAAGAAAAUCAAUUUCAAUGCCCAAAGGAGGGAAUUACUGCAGCGGAAGGUCACCAAACACUACAAGUUGCUAUAUUAUCAUGGAGACUCGGAAGAAAAGGGAAAAAAAAGGCCUCAAAAAUGAGGUAUUGGAAACUGAGGAGGGCCAUAAAUUGGAGAAUGGCUGAACAAAAUAUGAUAUAUGAACAUGGUGAACUAUUGCUCUAUAAGAAAUGAAGAAAGAUGGUUUCAGAGAAACCCAGGAAAAAUUUUUAUGUACUAAUGCAGAGUGAAGUGAGCAGAAGAACAGUUUAUACAAAUAACAACAUUGCAAAGACAAAUAACUUUUUUUUUUAAAACUUCAGAACUCUGAUUCAAUGAAGUGACCAAUCUUGGAUGAUGGAAGAAACUACACUAUUUCUGAUAGAAAAGUAAUGGACUUAGGAUGCAGAAUUAGACAUGCAAUUUUUGGAUAUAGAUUUAUUUUGCUUGUCUAUGUAUGUUUAUUAUAGGUUUUUUCCUUUCUUUUUUUUCCAAUGGAGGGAGAGGAAAGGUGGGAAGGAAGGGGGAAAAAUAAACAUGUAUUAAUUGAAAAAGUGAGGUUUUUU